Molecule: ribosomal RNA, 460 nt
Filed under: uncultured bacterium
Lineage: Bacteria
Description: partial 16S ribosomal RNA
Rfam family: Bacterial small subunit ribosomal RNA
Source: RNAcentral
CCUACGGGUGGCAGCAGUGAGGAAUAUUGGUCAAUGGACGCAAGUCUGAACCAGCCAUGCCGCGUGCAGGAAGACGGCUCUAUGAGUUGUAAACUGCUUUUGUACGAGGGUAAACGCAGAUACGCGUAUCUGUCUGACAGUAUCGUACGAAUAAGGAUCGGCUAACUCCGUGCCAGCAGCCGCGGUAAUCCGGAGGAUUCAAGCGUUAUCCGGAUUUAUUGGGUUUAAAGGGUGCGUAGGCGGUCGGAUAAGUUAGAGGUGAAAUCCCGAGGCUCAACUUCGGAAUUGCCUCUGAUACUGUUCGGCGAGAGAGUAGUUGCGGUAGGCGGAAUGUAUGGUGUAGCGGUGAAAUGCUUAGAGAUCAUACAGAACACCGAUUGCGAAGGCAGCUUACCAAGCUACUUCUGACGUUGAGGCACGAAAGCGUGGGGAGCAAACAGGAUUAGAUACCCUAGUAGUC